UCAGUGGUGCACAAAGAUAGUAUAAGGUAUCCACAGAAGAGAUGAGCCGAAAGCAGACACCUAGUGAUUUUCUGAAGCAAAUUAUAGGCCGACCUGUAGUGGUGAAACUUAACUCUGGAGUUGAUUACAGAGGUGUUUUAGCAUGUCUCGAUGGAUAUAUGAACAUAGCAUUAGAACAAACAGAAGAAUAUGUAAAUGGACAACUAAAGAAUAAAUAUGGAGAUGCAUUUAUAAGAGGAAAUAAUGUUUUAUAUAUCAGCACACAAAAGAGACGAGGCUAGGAAAGAUAUUUGUCCCGAGGAACACGGUGUCCCGAUUUUCUUGACAGGAGAAUGUAAACAAGAGAGGCAUCUAUUCUGAUCUCAACAACAGAAAUGUACAUCAGAAGAGACAAUUUUAUUGCAGGCAUAUUGUUGUCAUUGACUUCAGCCUAGGCCUGCUAUGUAGAUUGAUUGAUUGAUAUUCGUGGCUUCGAAUAUCAGCAAGCAGAGGACUUACUAAAAUGUACAGUUAAGCUUUGGAUCUGUAAAGCUCAGGAUGGCUCUUUCCUUCAUAAUAAAGUGACUUUGUGUUGGAGAACAUGUUUUGAUAUAGGAAACAUUACUUAUAGUGAAGGCUAUAGAAGACUGCCUUGUUUAAAAAAAUGUUAUUACUGCUCUUACAACAUGCUUAAUAUUUUUUAGAACACACACAUUCACAGUAUUUUUUAAAUUUCACCUCUUGAUGUCUUUAGUUUAUUAUAAAGAAAUGUAUUGAUAUAUUUAUAUUCUUUAGUCAUUAAAUUUCACAGAACUGAUGCCAUAUUACCACCUUUCAAUUGAUGAUUGAUAUUCAGGUAUUGCAGUGGUCACAGUAAAUACUGUGAGAUUCUUUACAAGAUUUGAAUGAUAGCUGUAAAUAUUUGUAAUAUAAAAAAAAAUAAAUAAAAUAAAACUUCAA
This is a long non-coding RNA of Lingula anatina, 939 nucleotides long. The record is from RefSeq and is a predicted model, not a curated record. NCBI's taxonomy places the organism in Eukaryota, Metazoa, Brachiopoda, Lingulata, Lingulida, Lingulidae.